ACAAAGAGAAGCGACCUCGCGAGAGCAAGCGGACCUCAUAAAGUGCGUCGUAGUCCGGAUUGGAGUCUGCAACUCGACUCCAUGAAGUCGGAAUCGCUAGUAAUCGUGGAUCAGAAUGCCACGGUGAAUACGUUCCCGGGCCUUGUACACACCGCCCGUCACACCAUGGGAGUGGGUUGCAAAAGAAGUAGGUAGCUUAACCUUCGGGAGGGCGCUUACCACUUUGUGAUUCAUGACUGGGGUGAAGUCGUAACAAGGUAACCGUAGGGGAACCUGCGGUUGGA
RNAcentral lists this ribosomal RNA (284 nucleotides) under Escherichia coli. RNAcentral describes it as "partial 16S ribosomal RNA". It matches the Rfam family "Bacterial small subunit ribosomal RNA", at positions 1239 to 1522 of the family's 1533-position model. Lineage: Bacteria; Pseudomonadati; Pseudomonadota; Gammaproteobacteria; Enterobacterales; Enterobacteriaceae. RNAcentral also lists the same sequence under 1 other name. The record is from RNAcentral.